This is a long non-coding RNA of Lolium rigidum, 920 nucleotides long. RefSeq lists it as uncharacterized. The transcript is spliced from 3 exons. The record is from RefSeq and is a predicted model, not a curated record. NCBI's taxonomy places the organism in Eukaryota, Viridiplantae, Streptophyta, Magnoliopsida, Poales, Poaceae.
ACUUAUGUGUUUGUUUCAGUGUAUGUAGUCAACACAAAUGAUGAAUAUAUCAUCUAAAAAUAAAACACAAUUAUAGACAACACAAUUACAAACACAUUUAGUGACCAACUAUUAUCUCCAAGGUUGUUUCAUCCUCCUUUGAUCUUCAUCUGAACCUUUUAGUGGCCAGCUAUUAGCUCCAAGGUUUACUGAUAAAGUUCGCCCUUAACUGUUAGAGUCAUAGGCAACUUUUUCUCCUUUAGCAACUUAUCUUUGCCCAUGUGCGUUAUAUCGUAAUGGAAUUCUCCUUCAAAUUCCAUGACCUGAAUCAUGCAAGUCUGUAGGGUUAUAAACACUUUCGCUAGCUUAUCCACUUCAUAGGCAUCAUAAGCAUGUUCGACGGACUCUAUCAGUUCCUUGAGAGUGUUAGGUGCAUAGCAAAGCGUGAGGGACUGAAUCGAGAAGAAGAAGCAAAGAUCAAGGACUCGUUCAUGUCUGGUGAAUUUGGAGGCUGCUGCAGCAACUUGAUAUCAAGGCCUGAUUCUGCCACGGCUUGUAAGAAAGAAGCAUCAGUUGGAAGGACAUGUGUUCGAGCAUUGUCUUGUUGGAUGAAGAUGGUACCAACAUCGUCAGGCGGCCAUUGGUCUUGAAUAGCUGGAAUGACCUUUUCACAAAGGAAGGUGUUAAAUAUCAAACAGGACACUUUUGGUCAAGUGAGCAUAGGAUCAUGCUAAAUAUGCAUGUUAACAGUAAUGUGAUGAAAAUAGAGCACACGUGGUGUACCUGCAGGUAUAUGUGCUUCUUGUCCAUGUUCCUCUUGUGGACUGAAGUUGAGAUCCAGGAUUGUCCCUCCAUCAUCCUGCUCUUGUGGAGGAGUUAAGUUGAUAUCCAAGAACAGAACCAUCCUCUCCUCUUGUGGACUGGGCUAGCUGCGGAAAAAC